RNAcentral lists this non-coding RNA (29 nucleotides) under Mus musculus (house mouse). The record is from RNAcentral. Lineage: Eukaryota; Metazoa; Chordata; Mammalia; Rodentia; Muridae.
UUCAAAAUGGUCCCAAAGGAGCCCACCAC